GGUCCUCCUGACUAGCUCACCCGGUAGAGCAUCAUGGCGUUAACGUUGCCGGGGUCAGGGGUUUCGAUUCCCGCUGGGACCA
Merluccius polli (Benguela hake) is the source of this 82-nucleotide non-coding RNA. Lineage: Eukaryota; Metazoa; Chordata; Actinopteri; Gadiformes; Merlucciidae. The record is from the annotation of a GenBank genome assembly.